This 250-nucleotide ribosomal RNA is filed under the name uncultured bacterium. RNAcentral describes it as "partial 16S ribosomal RNA". It matches the Rfam family "Bacterial small subunit ribosomal RNA", at positions 524 to 773 of the family's 1533-position model. The record is from RNAcentral.
UACGUAGGGGGCAAGCGUUAUCCGGAUUUACUGGGUGUAAAGGGAGCGCAGACGGCAGCGUAAGUCUGAAGUGAAAGCCCGCGGCUUAACCGCGGGACUGCUUUGGAAACUACGCGGCUUGAGUGUCGGAGGGGCAGGCGGAAUUCCUGGUGUAGCGGUGAAAUGCGUAGAUAUCAGGAAGAACACCGGUGGCGAAGGCGGCCUGCUGGACGACAACUGACGUUGAGGCUCGAAGGCGUGGGGAGCGAAC